AUGAAGGAGGAAACUGAGGCCCAGACUGGGGAAGCUGUGUGGCCGGUGGUGACAGAGCUGGCCCACCAACCCAGAGCUGCGGACCACAGGAAGGCUAUCACCACAGUGUUGCCUNCAAGCUUCAAUCAGUGCAGACUCCAGGCCCGCAUCCUGAAGACCCCAGGGCGCUGUUUCUCAUCCGGCAUCUGCUCCGUUACAGCCAUGCAUGACCUGACAUGGGGUUCUAACUAUCCAAAGAGUAGAUGUUGGCAGGGAGGGCUGCGAGGUUGUCCAAGGAGACCCAUUUGUCAGCUGGAUGCAGUACCGUGGGAUGGAUGGAUUGAUGGUUAUGACCUUAUAACUACAUGGUCCCUGAUGACUUCCAAAGUGCUUUUCCAGCAUUAUCUGCAUUUGCUCCUAGGAAGAAUGAGUACUCACAGUCACAAAUGGGUCUGAUCCUAAUUUUCAGAAUGAAGGCUGAGCUCAGACAUUAUUGAGUUCUGAUGGCUGCAACCANNNNNNNNNNNNNNNNNNNNNNNNNNNNNNNNNNNNNNNNNNNNNNNNNNNNNNNNNNNNNNNNNNNNNNNNNNNNNNNNNNNNNNNNNNNNNNNNNNNAAUGAAGGCUGAGCUCAGACAUUAUUGAGUUCUGAUGGCUGCAACCACUCUAAGAAUCCUGACUUAAUUGGCUCAUGGGUGCAGUCUGGACUGAGGGCCUCUUUUAAGCUCCUUGGGGACUUCUGAAAUACAGCCAAGGUGGAGAGCCGCUGGGUCCUAAAGAGACUCAGCUAGAUUUCAGGUCCUGGUACCUCUAAACCACUGCAUUCUGAGAGCUUUCCCUGGGUGGCCUGAACAGUGCCCACAAAUCUACAUGUCCCAAGUGUCCUGGAAAGCUCACCUGCCUCCUGCUUUCCUCUCCUUGCCCUUGGGCCUUGUCUCUACCCCGACAGCAUGCAGUUCUGGUAAAAUACAUCUUAGUGAAAUCCCAAAGAGCACCCCGAACAACCCGCCACCUCCCACUCUAGCAACUCAACUCCAAACCCACCUCCUCAGUGAGACAAGUGCAGAGUCACAAAAAUUACAGCGGGUCUCCCCACCCCCAUCCCAUCUCACCAGAGCUCCCACGCAGCCUGGGUACAGCACCAGUACUCCUGAGCACGAGGCCAGUCCCAGGUAUCAUGCCUUCAAACUCGUCGGGCCAUGACAUCACCAUCGACCAAUGAUUUUGCCUUCAAAUUGCCUCAAACAUCUUAGACCAUGACAGUUUCCCCACAGGUUAAUUAACUCCAAACACUCCUCACAUGCACCAUGGUAACUGCCAGUGUCAAUGUCAGCUGUGUGCUAAGUGGUUUGCCCUGAAUCCACUCCAUUAAUCCUCAAACCCAGGCUGUGAAGUUGCUGUUAUUACUACCCCCAUUUCACAGAUGAGGAAACUGAGGCUCAGGGAGGUGAAGUAGUUUAUGCGGGUAAGUGGCAGGGUCUGCAUUGGAACUGGGGUCAGACAGAAACCAGAGCCUGUGCUCUCCCUAACAGACACACUGCCCAGCCCCUCCCAGGGGUCACUUAAGCAUCCUCACUGCUGUCAUUCUCACAAGGACAUGGCAGAAGAAAGAGACUAGAUGAGCAACCAGAGCUGCCUGGCCAUGUGUGAACGUGACGCCUGAGAAGGUCAGGGCAAAGCGCUAAGUCCAGACGCCCCAGGGAUCUUCCAGCUAGGGUGGCCGGUGAUUUAUUCCUUGAGCUGGGACACUUUGGGGAGCAAACAGAGCUAUUAAUACCAACAGUGGGACAGUCCGUGUAAGUCGGGACCAUUCUGGAUGAGCAGGACUUGCAGUCACCCAACACCAAGUCAAUACAACACAAAGGGUUUCCCUGAUGGCUCAGAAUCUGCCUGCAAUGUAGGAGAUCCAGGUUCGAUCCCAGGGUCGGGAAGAUCCCCUGGAGAAGGGAAUGGCAACCUAGUCCAGUAUUCUUUUCUGGAGAAUUCCAUGGACAGCGAAGCCUGGUGGGCUACAGUCCAUGGGGUCACAAAGAGUAGGACACGACU
This 2023-nucleotide long non-coding RNA is filed under the name Capra hircus (goat). RNAcentral describes it as "lncRNA (ENSCHIG00010024555.1)". The record is from RNAcentral. Lineage: Eukaryota; Metazoa; Chordata; Mammalia; Artiodactyla; Bovidae.